GGUGUCUAGCUCAGUUGGUAGAGUGCUUGCCUUGCAUGCACAAGGCCCUGGGUUCAAUCCCCAGCACCA
Molecule: transfer RNA, 69 nt
Filed under: Urocitellus parryii (Arctic ground squirrel)
Lineage: Eukaryota; Metazoa; Chordata; Mammalia; Rodentia; Sciuridae
Also listed under: 2 other names
Description: Spermophilus parryii (Arctic ground squirrel) tRNA
Rfam family: tRNA
About the family: Transfer RNA (tRNA) molecules are approximately 80 nucleotides in length.
Source: Rfam by way of RNAcentral